UGGGACAACUCUGGAGAGACCGGUUCGAAUCCGGCGCCGAAGGUGCACGAAGCGCGACCCUCCCCCGUUGCAAUUGCAACGCGCUUCAAACUCUCAGGCAAAAGGACAGAGGGGCGCCU
Molecule: non-coding RNA, 119 nt
Filed under: Novilysobacter spongiicola
Lineage: Bacteria; Pseudomonadati; Pseudomonadota; Gammaproteobacteria; Lysobacterales; Lysobacteraceae
Also listed under: 1 other name
Description: Lysobacter spongiicola Glycine sequence
Rfam family: Glycine riboswitch aptamer
About the family: This family represents the bacterial glycine riboswitch.
Source: RNAcentral